Molecule: unclassified non-coding RNA, 179 nt
Filed under: uncultured fungus
Lineage: Eukaryota; Fungi
Description: sequence contains ITS1, 5.8S rRNA gene
Source: RNAcentral
GUAUUUUGAAUUAUUUUAUUCAUAAUAUUUUUCAGACAAAGAGUUAAAAAAUUAGGUUGAUGUUUGGCCGAUCUCCAUAAAGAAGAUCGACUGACAUUGCACACAAGGUGGAUAUGGAUUUAAAAAGUGCCGUAAAACACUUAUUAUGAAUGAUCCUUCCGCAGGUUCACCUACGGAAA